This 520-nucleotide ribosomal RNA is filed under the name uncultured Scutellospora. Its description in RNAcentral is "SSU rRNA". It matches the Rfam family "Eukaryotic small subunit ribosomal RNA", at positions 569 to 1095 of the family's 1831-position model. Lineage: Eukaryota; Fungi; Glomeromycota; Glomeromycetes; Diversisporales; Gigasporaceae. The record is from RNAcentral.
AGCAGCCGCGGUAAUUCCAGCUCCAAUAGCGUAUAUUAAAGUUGUUGCAGUUAAAAGCUCGUAGUUGAAUUUCGGGGUUCUACCGUUGGUCGGGCUAACCAGUCUGUACUAGCGUGUAGAAUUUCUACCUUCUGGGGAACCAUCAUGUUAUUAAUUUAGCGUGGUGGGAAACCAGGACCUUUACCUUGAAAAAUUAGAGUGUCCAAAGCAGGCUUACGUCUGAAUACAUUAGCAUGGAAUAAUAAAUAGGACGGUGGUCCUGUUUUGUUGGUUUCUGAAUCACCGUAAUGAUUAAUAGGGAUAGUUGGGGGCAUUAGUAUUCAAUUGUCAGAGGUGAAAUUCUUGGAUUUAUUGAAGACUAACUUCUGCGAAAGCAUUUGCCAAGGAUGUUUUCAUUAAUCAAGAACGAAAGUUAGGGGAUCGAAGACGAUCAGAUACCGUCGUAGUCUUAACCAUAAACUAUGCCGACUAGGGAUCGGACGAUAUUAAAUUUUAUUGACUCGUUCGGCGCCUUACGGGA